GUGGGGAAUCUUCCGCAAUGGACGAAAGUCUGGCGGAGCAACGCCGCGUGAGUGAAGAAGGUUUUCGGAUCGUAAAGCUCUUUCGUUAGGGACGAACGUGCUCUUUGUGAAUAAUGAGGAGUAAUGACGGUACCUAAAUAAGAAGCCACGGCUAACUACGUGCCAGCAGCCGCGGUAAUACGUAGGUGGCAAGCGUUGUCCGGAAUUAUUGGGCGUAAAGCGCGCGCAGGCGGGAUAUCAAGUCUGUCUUAAAAGUGCGAGGCUCAACCUCGUGAGGGGACAGAAACUGGUAUUCUUGAGUGUCGGAGAGGAAAGUGGAAUUCCAAGUGUAGCGGUGAAAUGCGUAGAGAUUUGGAAGAACACCAGUGGCGAAGGCGACUUUCUGGACGAUGUCUGACGCUGAGGCGCGAAAGCUAGGGGAGCGAACGGGAUUAGAUACCCCUGUAGUCC
This 450-nucleotide ribosomal RNA is filed under the name uncultured bacterium. RNAcentral's name for it is "partial 16S ribosomal RNA". It matches the Rfam family "Bacterial small subunit ribosomal RNA", at positions 354 to 796 of the family's 1533-position model. The record is from RNAcentral.